GUUGUCUCAGCCAUAUGAACCCGACUUCAUGUCCUCGUGUUUUCCCUGUGCCUUUUUGUUUCUUUGCUUGUUCCUGGUGUUUUUGGUUUAUUGCAUUUGGAUUUUUCAGUUCAAAGAAAGUUUUUGUUGUUUCAGUCUUUUGUUUGAUUAAAAACUUUAAAGUUCAGGGUCUAAAGUGAGGUUAAAGUCCAUCUUUGUUUUGAUAAAGUGAUCAGAGUGAUGGUGAAAGAUUGAGACGUUGAGAGUGAAAGUCGGUCUCAACAGGAUGUUUCAGUUCCUCUCCCCUCAUUAUUGAGAGUCAGGAGGUUUUUGUACGGCCAUGUAUACAAACUGAAUCACUGUGGUAUUCGGACAAGGAACCAAGCUGAUCGUCCCAAGUAAGUUCUUUAAAAAUCAUUGUUCAACCUUCUUAUUGUCUGUUUCUGAUUCCUGUUUGAUGAAACUCUUGAUUUGACUUGUUCAAAACCUUCAGUGGUAUUUUAGGACACAUUUCUCUGCUUUAAAAUCCAGUUUAGAAACAGUCCUGAGCUUUGCUGUAAUCAUCAAAACAAGAUGAAUAUUCUGUAUCUGACUGAAAUCGAUCUAAAAUCAUCUUUACGUAUGUUUCUGUUUAUUUUGAAUCACUGAACUUGUUCAAUCAAAUUCAGAUGGAUUAGUUUAGAUCGUCUUCAAAAGCUGACGUGAUUUCAUGCAAAGAUAAAAAAUCCAAAUGAAGAGAAUAUCUUUGAUAUUUACUGAAAAAAGACAAAAUAUUUAAUGGUUGAUUUUAUUUUUUUAAGUUAUAUUUUUAAGUUUUAAUGAAUCAUUUCAAUUUGAAUGGUGCGGUCUUUGUCCUAAACCAGUCAUUGAAAUAAUUCUGUAUUUUAUAAUGUGUUAAAACUCAAAGACUGUGAUUCUUAUGGAUGAACAAAGUCUGUCUGAGUGUUGAUGUCUGGAUAUUAUCUUUGCUGCUGAAAAAAAAGUGUUUUAAAAUCCUGUUGGUGGAAAAUAAGUGAGUUUUUCAUUUUGAUGAUCUCCAACUUCAGAUCCUAUUUUGUUCGACACUGAGGGAGACUUUAGGAAACUGUUUCAACCUGAACCUCCAAGUGACAGAUCAAGUCCUCUUGUUAUGAUCUUGAGUACGGGGCUUGUGUUUUCAUCAGCGUGUUGUUAUCAUGUCAAAUGAUCAAUAAUUGAAUAUUGAUGAUUUGUGUGUGUUUGUGUGUUUCAGGCUCCAGCCUCUCUCCUCCCGUCCUCACAGUCUUCCCUCCGUCCCGUGCUGAGCUCCAGUCCAACAAAGCCUCUCUGCUCUGUCUGUCCAGUCAGUCUGUGCCUUUUGCAGAUGUGAGCUGGUUGGCUGCUGGGAGUCCAGUGAGCAGUGGGGUCUCCACCAGCACGGCUGUUCGGAAAGCGGACCAGACUUUCCACAUCAGCAGCUCUCUGUCCAUCACCCCCUCUGAGUGGACCACGGGCAAAGUCUUCACGUGUAAAGUGUCUCUGGACUCUCAGACUUCAGAGAAAGAGAUCAGCAAGUCCAGCUGUCCCUCUGCAGAAGAGUAGAGGAGCACAGAGAGCAUUUCCAACCUGCUUCUUGACUCUUUGUGCUCUUUGCUCAUUACAAGCUUCACAUGCUAGAAAAGAUGAGUCUGCAUGCUCGGAGCUAAUGUUGAGACAGUUAGCUGGAGGAGUCGGAUCAGCUUUGCUGCCGCUGCUGCUUUUAUCAACAAUCUUUCAAUAAAACAAUUGAAAGCCUGCAAAUCAAAAA
Non-coding RNA from Xyrichtys novacula (pearly razorfish), 1744 nucleotides. NCBI's taxonomy places the organism in Eukaryota, Metazoa, Chordata, Actinopteri, Labriformes, Labridae. The record is from the annotation of a GenBank genome assembly.